AGUCUGGCCUGCCCAAUGAUUUUUGAAUGGCCGCAGUAUUUUGACUGUGCAAAGGUAGCAUAAUCAUUAGUUUUUUAAUUGAAAGCUGGAAUGAAAGGUUUGAUGAGAAAAUAACUGUCUCUAUAUAAAUGGUUUAGAAUUUCAAUUUUAAGUGAAAAAGCUUAAAUUUUUUAUAAAGACGAGAAGACCCUAUAGAGUUUUAUAUUUGAACGAAUUUGGAAGUUUAGGAAUUUAUUUUUUUAGUUUUGUUUAAAUAUUUCGUUGGGGCGAUGGAGAAAUUUAAUUAACUUUUUUUGGUUUGAAACAUUGAUUUAUGAAUAUAUGAUCCUUCUGUUUGGAUUAUAAGACUAAAUUACCUUAGGGAUAACAGCGUAAUUUUUUUUGGAGAGUUCUUAUCGAUAAAAAAGUUUGCGACCUCGAUGUUGGAUUAAAAUUUAAUUUUGGUGCAGAAGCUAAAAAUUUGGGUCUGUUCGACCUUUAAAAUUUU
RNAcentral lists this ribosomal RNA (487 nucleotides) under Pimelia ferreri. Its description in RNAcentral is "partial large subunit ribosomal RNA". It matches the Rfam family "Bacterial large subunit ribosomal RNA", at positions 1851 to 2597 of the family's 2925-position model. The record is from RNAcentral. Lineage: Eukaryota; Metazoa; Arthropoda; Insecta; Coleoptera; Tenebrionidae.